Macaca mulatta (Rhesus monkey) is the source of this 2894-nucleotide non-coding RNA. The record is from RefSeq and is a predicted model, not a curated record. NCBI's taxonomy places the organism in Eukaryota, Metazoa, Chordata, Mammalia, Primates, Cercopithecidae.
AUUUUUAGUGGAGACAGGGUUUUGCCAUGUUGCCCAGGCUGGUCAUGAUCUCAUGGGCUGAAACAAUCUGCCUGUCUUAGCCUCCCAAAGUACCAGUAUUACAGGCAUGAGCCACUGCACACAGCCAGCCUUCCUUUUUAAGGAUAAAAGUUUAGACCAAACAAAGAAACAACAUUUGUAAAAAAUAGUCCACCAUUACCUCUCCACUUCAGUGGGGAUGCCAGAGAGUACAUCUCCACAAAGAGCAAAGGGUAGAUGAAGGGAAGUUAUAGAAACUGCAGGUGGGAGGCUAAGCAAAUGGACGUAAGAAAUACAACACUAUAAGCCAUUAACUCACUCACGCGUUCAUUUCUUCAGAAAACGUUUAUUGAACACCAACUACAUUGUAGGCCUGUGCUAGUUACAUGGGAGAUAGUGAUGAAUGAGGUAAAGUCCAGGCCCUCAUGGAACUUAUUGUUUUGCAGGGAACACAGGUAAUCACAGAAUGCUGUAAUAAGUGCUAUACAGGGUAGCAGAGGGCACAUGGGGGCCCAUAGGAGGAUCCCUAAUACCGAGUGGGGUUAGGGAAGACUUCCCAGAGGAAGCGAAAGUCUAAGCUAAGAUCUUAAGUGUGAAAAGGAGUUAGCUGGAACAAGGGUGUGGAGUGUGGAGCGGUGAGGAAAAGGAGAAGAUUCUAGGCAGGGGAACUCUCUAGAUGAAGGCUCUGCAAAGAAAGAAGGUAGGAUGUAUCUGGAGAGCAAAAAUAUUACUGUCUGGUGGCACCACAGCAGGGAGAAGACAGGUCAGGGAGAUGAAGGUGGAGAAAUAGGCAGGGGCCUGAGAUAAUGGACUUGUUCCUGUAUCUGUCUGGAAUAUCAGAACCCUUGUCUGUCAGAAUGCCCUGUGUCUGCAGAGCUGCCUAUGCUGUGUAGAGCAGAGCAAGAACUGCAAGAUCUGCAAGGCCCAUGCUGGUUUGGCUCUGUCUCUGUCCUGUCUAAAUUGGGUUGGUAUGGCACUUUUGGUGAGGCCUUUCUUAACCGGUACAAUGUGGUUCAGCUGCUUACUAGAAAGGGGGCAGGAGAGGCCCACCUGUGACCUGGGCUCCGAGACCACAACUCCAGCCCAGCUGCUCUGCCUCCAACUUUGUGCAAAUCACUCAAGCUUCCUAGCCUGCCAUUUCAGCAACUGUAAAAUGACAAGCUUCUCCAGGUGAGCUCUACCCAAGGUGCCUUCCAGGUCUAAUGCUAUGAUUUGAAGAGACGACAUCCAACUGCAGGGUCUGGUUGGUCCCUGAUUCCUGAAGCUUGACUUUGAAUAUGAAUGACAGUUCAAGACCUCAGGCUUACUGACUAGCUCUGUCCUCCUUUUGUGUUUUGAAUAUUGACUUACCCGCUGCUUAUCUGGGUCUACAAAGCGGAUACCAAAAUAGUCUUUCUCAAGUAGGUUCAGGUGGUGGCAAAGAAGGUCAAACAGGUACUGGCCUUUGGCAUCUCUCUGCAAAGAAAGAAAGUUCCAUUGAGAAAUAAGUGGGCUUCUUCAGUGUAACUUUGUUUUGUUUCUUUUUGUUUUUUGUAGCCAUUAAAAGUUGUUUGCAACUGUUGCAUGUGUCUAUGAAAGGGGUGAGUGUCCAUAACUAUGUCCUCCACAUUGUGAUACAUCACUGUCUGGAAUCCAGAGGUUUUUAGCACCUGGAAGGAGCCCAAGAACCCUUCCCACCACAAAGAUGUCAGAGGAGUCAAGGUAGAGUCAGACUGUAAUUUUCAUGAAGUCAGAAGCCGUCCCCCAGAACUUAGCACAAGGCCUGAGGCAUGGCAGGCAGGUCCUCAAUAAUUCUUUGUGGAAUAAAUUACUGAACGAAUAGAAGGGAAAAGGUUGGCUGAAAGAUUUCACAAAAUGGUGAAAAGCUAGGCUGUUUAUAACCCAUAACCUUCUACUUCAGAGACCUGCCUGGGUGCCAAGGAUGAAGUGGGAGGAGAAUGACUUGCAGGAAACUGUCAAAACACCUGGAGCCUGCACAGCAUCCAUCACUGGCCUCCCUGCAGUGGUCUCUGCAGCUUAGUUCAGAUAAUCAUCUCUGGCGGGUCUAUGUCUAAUUUUGCAUACAAUUUGAGGUUGUAUGAGGAAUUUCUGUAGUGUAGUGGUUAUCACGUUUGCCUCACAAAUUGAGGUUGUAAGAUAAGAUCCAAAGAUCUCUCCCAUGCCAAGGCCCAAGGCUGUGGGUAAUUAUCAAAGGGCCUGGCCCUGCCCCAAGAAUGAGCAUAUUUUUAAGACCUUCACAAAAGGUUUACACCUCCCCUCUUCCCCUUCUGCUAGCUCACCCCAUACUAUCCAAGGAGAACUAGGGUAGGAUGCUAAUCUCGUAGCAGUUAUGUUAAGAAGUUUGUCCUUGCAGGAGCUGGAAGAAUGGGUGAGUAGACAGCUCAACUACAGAAGGAGGCAACAUGUGGGCACACGUCCCUCCUCGUCUGAGACAGGAAUAAUAUAGGGUGGUCACAAGAGAAUAAAAAUUCCAGACAGCAGUUUCACACGACUAGAGGCUAUGGGCUGAUAAGACCCUAAAAAACAGGACAUGGACCAAGCUAGCUAAUACCUACUGAACCCAGUAUGUGGCUGGAUUUGACCUAGGUUUCUCCUAGGACCUCAUUAUAAACUCAUUAACAUACUAGAUCACACACCUACCAGCGCCAGGACUGUUCCAAGACCACCCAUAUUUGCUGUAAAAAUAGGUGCCACUGCGGUUAUGAGAAAUCUCUACCCUUUCCCAAGAAUUUUCAUGAAUAUUCCACCCCUUGGUUAAAGAAACCCAUAAAGACAGAAAUCCCAAACCCCACUGUGUGACUCUCUUGAGUGCGCCUACGCUCCCUUUUCUUGAAUGUGUACUUUGCCCUUUGCAAUAAAUCUCUGUACUUUUACUA